GGGAAUAUUGGACAAUGGGCGGAAGCCUGAUCCAGCAACGCCGCGUGAGGGAUGACGGCCUUCGGGUUGUAAACCUCUUUCAGCACAGGCGAAGCUGCUACCACGUGUGGUGGUGGUGACGGUAUGUGCAGAAGAAGCACCGGCCAACUACGUGCCAGCAGCCGCGGUAAGACGUAGGGGGCGAGCGUUGUCCGGAGUUACUGGGCGUAAAGCGCCCGCAGGCGGUCUGGCGCGUUGGGAGGGACAGUCGGCGGCUUAACCGCCGAAGGCCUCACAAGACGGCCAGACUGGAGGGCCUCAGAGGGACAUGGAAGUCCGGGUGGAGCGGUGAAAUGCGUAGAGAUCCGGAGGAACACCAAAGGCGAAGGCAGUGUCCUGGGAGGCACCUGACGCUCGGGGGCGAAGGCCAGGGGAGCGAAC
RNAcentral lists this ribosomal RNA (420 nucleotides) under uncultured bacterium. RNAcentral describes it as "bacterial SSU rRNA". It matches the Rfam family "Bacterial small subunit ribosomal RNA", at positions 357 to 773 of the family's 1533-position model. The record is from RNAcentral.